Molecule: unclassified non-coding RNA, 79 nt
Organism: Panthera pardus (leopard)
Lineage: Eukaryota; Metazoa; Chordata; Mammalia; Carnivora; Felidae
Source: Ensembl
GAAGAUUUUUUUUUUCUCCACUAGGAACUGUUGACCUGCAGCAGUCCUGGGGUCCACAGAUAUUUUAGCCCAGGCCAAA